Pelobates cultripes (western spadefoot toad) is the source of this 284-nucleotide non-coding RNA. The record is from the annotation of a GenBank genome assembly. Lineage: Eukaryota; Metazoa; Chordata; Amphibia; Anura; Pelobatidae.
AUUCCCUAUAUACACAAACAUAUGUUGGAUAUGCUCCAACUCACCAGGCACAAUGACUGACAUAUGGUGGGGGCUGUCCCACAAUAAUUAAAAUCUGAACGCAUGUCAUACAACUUACAAAAACAACCACCACAAUAGAUAUAAAUAGUACAGCAGAAACAGUAUUGCUAUUCCAUUUCCUUGCCUCAAUCACCAAAUCAACAAAAUACUUGAUCUUCCAUAAUUUGAUAGCAGCCUUAACCUUAAUUGGGAGAAAUUGGAAAACAUAUAUAAUACCAAUAAUC